UUCCGGUUGAUCCCGCCGGACCCGACUGCUAUUUGGGUGAGGAUAAGCCAUGCAAGUCGAAUGGGAUACCUAAAUUUCCCAUGGCGAACUGCUCAGUAACACAUGAUCAACUUGCCCUAUAGAGAGAAAUAACCUCGGGAAACUGAGGAUAAUUUUUCACAGUUGAAUUGGCUUGGAAAAGUUUUUCAAUAAAAAGGAUAAAGAAAAUGGUCUUUAUUCGCUAUAGGAUAGGAUCGUGUUCGAUUAUGGUAGUUGGUGAGGUAAAGGCUCACCAAGCCGAUAAUCGAUAGGGGCCGUGAGAGCGGGAGCCCCGAGAUGGGUACUGAGACAACGACCCAGGCCUUACGAGGCGCAGCAGGCGCGAAACCUCCACAAUACACGAAAGUGUGAUGGGGUUACCCAAAGUGUUCAUUAUUGAACUGUGGUAGGUGAGUAAUGUUCCCUACUAGAAAGGAGAGGGCAAGGCUGGUGCCAGCCGCCGCGGUAAAACCAGCUCUUCAAGUGGUCGGGAUAAUUAUUGGGCUUAAAGUGUCCGUAGCCGGUUUAGUAAGUUCCUGGUAAAAUCGGGUAGCUUAACUAUCUAUAUGCUAGGAAUACUGCUAUACUAGAGGGCGGGAGAGGUCUGAGGUACUACAGGGGUAGGGGUGAAAUCUUAUAAUCCUUGUAGGACCAUCAGUGGCGAAGGCGUCAGACUGGAACGCGCCUGACGGUGAGGGACGAAAGCCAGGGGAGCGAACCGGAUUAGAUACCCGGGUAGUCCUGGCUGUAAACGAUGCAUACUAGGUGAUGGCACGGCCAUGAGCCGUGUCAGUGCCGUAGGGAAACCGUUAAGUGUGCCGCCUGGGAAGUACGGUCGCAAGGCUAAAACUUAAAGGAAUUGGCGGGGGAGCACCACAAGGGGUGAAGCCUGCGGGUUCAAUUGGAGUCAACGCCGGAA
RNAcentral lists this ribosomal RNA (937 nucleotides) under uncultured archaeon. RNAcentral's name for it is "bacterial SSU rRNA". It matches the Rfam family "Archaeal small subunit ribosomal RNA", at positions 1 to 923 of the family's 1478-position model. The record is from RNAcentral.